Molecule: ribosomal RNA, 253 nt
Filed under: uncultured bacterium
Lineage: Bacteria
Description: partial 16S ribosomal RNA
Rfam family: Bacterial small subunit ribosomal RNA
Source: RNAcentral
UACAGGGGGGGCAAGCGUUGUUCGGAAUUACUGGGCGUAAAGGGUCUGUAGGUGGCCAACUAAGUCAGACGUGAAAUCCCUCAGCUUAACUGGGGAACUGCGUCUGAUACUGGAUGGCUUGAGUGUGGGAGAGGAAUGCGGAAUUCCAGGUGUAGCGGUGAAAUGCGUAGAUAUCAGGAGGAACACCAAUGGCGAAGGCAGCUCGCUGGGACGGUACUGACGCUGAGACGCGAAAGCGUGGGGAGCAAACAGG